CCUACGGGGGGCAGCAGUGGGGGAUAUUGCACAAUGGGGGAAACCCUGAUGCAGCGACGCAGCGUGUGGGAAGACGGUCCUCUGGAUUGUAAACCACUGUUCCCAGGGACGAAGAUGACGGUACCUGGGGAGGAAGCUCCGGCUAACUACGUGCCAGCAGCCGCGGUAAUACGUAGGGAGCACGCGUUGUCCGGAAUUACUGGGUGUAAAGGGAGCGUAGGCGGGAUGGCAAGUUGGGUGUUAAAUCUACCGGCUCAACUGGGAGUCGCACUCAAAACUGGUAUGCUUGAGUGCAGUAGAGGCAGGCGGAAUUCGUAGUGUAGCGGUGAAAUGCGUAGAUAUUAGGAGGAACACCGGUGGCGAAGGCAGCCUGCUGGGCUUUUACUGACGCUGAGGCUCGAAAGUGUGGGGAGCGAACAGGAUUAGAUACCCCAGUAGUC
RNAcentral lists this ribosomal RNA (440 nucleotides) under uncultured bacterium. RNAcentral describes it as "partial 16S ribosomal RNA". It matches the Rfam family "Bacterial small subunit ribosomal RNA", at positions 338 to 795 of the family's 1533-position model. The record is from RNAcentral.